CUGUAAUGCACGGUAGAGUGAUAUGUAAAGUCCCGUUCUUUCGGGUGUUGCACCCUCCAUGGGUCCACAAAAUUGUGAGACUUUAAGGCUUGGCAGACAUGGGCAGAGAUUUGUCUCCAUUUAUGUAACGUUCGAAACUGCAGUGUCUCCGUGGUAGCAGAGUCCAGUGUAUCAUCUAACAAAAAAUUUGUGUCAACUCCAAUAAUCACCUCCCCGAACAUGUGCAACUGAGCUAAUGCCAAAACACUGGACAUAAACUGCGAUCGAUUUUCAUUCGGCCCAUAGACAUUAAUCAACGUAUAG
This is a non-coding RNA of Pelobates cultripes (western spadefoot toad), 303 nucleotides long. Lineage: Eukaryota; Metazoa; Chordata; Amphibia; Anura; Pelobatidae. The record is from the annotation of a GenBank genome assembly.